UGAGGAAUAUUGGUCAAUGGGCGCAAGCCUGAACCAGCCAAGUCGCGUGAGGGAAGACGGCCCUAUGGGUUGUAAACCUCUUUUGUCAGGGAGCAAGCGGGUCACGUGUGACCCAGUUGAGAGUACCUGAAGAAAAAGCAUCGGCUAACUCCGUGCCAGCAGCCGCGGUAAUACGGAGGAUGCGAGCGUUAUCCGGAUUUAUUGGGUUUAAAGGGUGCGUAGGCGGAAUUUUAAGUCAGUGGUAAAAUUGAGAGGCUCAACCUCUUCGAGCCAUUGAAACUGGGAUUCUUGAGUGGGCGAGAAGUAUGCGGAAUGCGUGGUGUAGCGGUGAAAUGCAUAGAUAUCACGCAGAACUCCGAUUGCGAAGGCAGCAUACCGGCGCCCUACUGACGCUGAGGCACGAAAGCGUGGGGAUCAAACAGG
Molecule: ribosomal RNA, 423 nt
Filed under: uncultured bacterium
Lineage: Bacteria
Description: bacterial SSU rRNA
Rfam family: Bacterial small subunit ribosomal RNA
Source: RNAcentral